This 68-nucleotide transfer RNA is filed under the name Bos taurus (domestic cattle). It matches the Rfam family "tRNA". From Rfam's summary of the family: Transfer RNA (tRNA) molecules are approximately 80 nucleotides in length. Their secondary structure includes four short double-helical elements and three loops (D, anti-codon, and T loops). The record is from Rfam by way of RNAcentral. Lineage: Eukaryota; Metazoa; Chordata; Mammalia; Artiodactyla; Bovidae. RNAcentral also lists the same sequence under 5 other names.
CCUGAUAGCUCAGUUGGUAAAGAAUCCACCUGCAAGGUGGGAGACCUGGUUCAAUUCCAGUGUCAGGA